AGAGAAAGAGAGUGAGAGGAGAAAGUAGCUCUGAAGUUGAAAGCCCAAGAAGGAGUUCUUGAGCUGUGAAGGUCCAUCUUCUUCCUUCUUCUCCCUUUCAGCCAACUUUUUGCCUUCCUGCGAGCUAGCACUUCCCAGAAAGCUGAUCAUUCCGGAGCUUCGCGUGGACGAAUCAUCGAGGCCGGACGCUUGUGCGGCUGCGAAGCAUCCUUGAAGGAAUCUCCUUCAAAAGGUAAGAGAUCUGAUCUCUUUUACGGUUGAGAUAUGAUCUCAAUCUUCAAAUCACAAGAAGUUGUGAUUUAUGUAUAUUUAUUUGAA
This 318-nucleotide long non-coding RNA is filed under the name Phoenix dactylifera (date palm). RNAcentral's name for it is "long non-coding RNA (PDAC_LNC020981)". Lineage: Eukaryota; Viridiplantae; Streptophyta; Magnoliopsida; Arecales; Arecaceae. The record is from RNAcentral.